UACGACUACAUAUCAGGCAUAUCAAUAAGCGGAGGAAAAGAAACUAACAAGGAUUCCCUUAGUAACGGCGAGUGAAGCGGGAAGAGCUCAAAUUUGAAAUCUUCAAGGUUUUACCUUGACGAAUUGUAGUUUAUAGAAGUGUUUUCUGUUGAGUUGCGGUAAAAGUUCUUUGGAAUAGGACAUCAUAGAGGGUGAGAAUCCCGUAUUUGACCGUUAUUCUCUAGCUGUGUGAUACACUUUCAAAGAGUCGGAUUGUUUGGGAAUGCAGUCCAAAAUGGGUGGUAAAUUUCAUCUAAAGCUAAAUAUUGGCGAGAGACCGAUAGCGAACAAGUACCGUGAGGGAAAGAUGAAAAGAACUUUGAAAAGAGAGUUAAACAGUACGUGAAAUUGUCAAAAGGGAAGCGUUUGACACCAGUGUUGUUUUCUCGAAAAUCAAUUAAAAAAUGCUUGAUUUUGUGUUGUAUUGACCUUAAAAGCUUUCUUCACUUUUUUCAUGUCUAUUUUUAAUGCACUUUUCGUUUAACAAGUCAACAUCAGUUUCUUUUGUUGUAAAAAGGUCAUUGGAAGGUGGCUUUCUUUUCGGAGAAAGUGUUUAUAGCCUUUGACUCCUGCAAUCGGAGAGACUGAGGUCUGCAGCGUAGAUCCUUCUGGAUUAGAUUCACUUGUGCUAAGUUAUAGCUUUUCAUAGACAACUUGUUGACUAUGUUUAGUCAUUGUAGCUUACUCGCUUGCGUAAUUUUACCUACGCUUAGGAUGUUGAACGCGCACAGAGUCUC
RNAcentral lists this ribosomal RNA (776 nucleotides) under uncultured Neocallimastigales. RNAcentral describes it as "partial large subunit ribosomal RNA". It matches the Rfam family "Eukaryotic large subunit ribosomal RNA", at positions 24 to 611 of the family's 3401-position model. The record is from RNAcentral. Lineage: Eukaryota; Fungi; Neocallimastigomycota; Neocallimastigomycetes; Neocallimastigales.